This 1028-nucleotide long non-coding RNA is filed under the name Elaeis guineensis (African oil palm). RNAcentral's name for it is "long non-coding RNA (EGUI_LNC006657)". The record is from RNAcentral. Lineage: Eukaryota; Viridiplantae; Streptophyta; Magnoliopsida; Arecales; Arecaceae.
AUAAGAACAUCUCGUAAAAAGGCAAAACAAACUCGAAGUGAUGCUCCGAUCGCCUGAACGGAGUUAAAAACCCUGUAUCAGAUAACCUACGUAUAUGACAACUACCCAAACCAAAGUACACCAACAGCACCCUAACAACGUAACCCGAUUAUCCCACGUUGCGAGACUCUAUGAUUAGGAAAAGCAGGAUGCCGAGUAGUCAUGACUUAUAGCAGCAGGUUGGCGGGCUCAGCGUAUCCAAAGGAAGGCCCCCAUGGCGAAGUCCCUCUUCUGAGCGAGGUCACCGAACACGGGCAGCCCGUAAUCCCUCAGGAGGCAGUCGACCUUCCACUCGGGCAUCGUCUGGUAGUCGGUCUUGGUGUACCUUGGGUAGUGGAGGGGCAUCCGGAAGUACCCCCCACAUCUCUCCUUCCCAUGACGGUUUACCCCGUUGGUCUCGGCCGGGUUCCUCUUCGUCAGCCACUCCAUGCUUCGCUUCUUCUCACCCUCUGUUUUCUCCUUCUCUUUCCCUCUCUGGCUCCAUCUGAUAUCUAAAUAUUGACGGGGAUGGGAUCCUUUAUAGGGAGAGAGUGGCUCAGGAGAGCACCGGAAGCCAAAAGGUAUCCGGGUCUGACAUUAACGGGCGGGAGAAAUAAAUUAAGGAUGGGUUCCAAGAGCACACGGAUUUAUAUAUUUCCCACAGUGCUCAACAGUUAAUCCUGGCUACCUUCGUUGUCGAAUCCGGUGCCCAGUUUAUCAGGGUGGCAUUUUGGGUGGUUCGAUGGCAAGCGUUGAUUGUUCGGUCGGGUGCCUCUUGUUUACUUGAGGUCAUAUAUUUCUGGGUGCCAUGGGAUGGACUUGGCGCUUGCCUUGUAGACCAAGACAAAGUAAAAAAAAAAAAAGCCGCUAACUAAGUUGCUUUGAGUAUAAUAAAAGCUUAAUUAUUUCAAAAUUUUUAGAUUUUUUUAAAAAAUUUUCUUUUAUCUUGAAUUUCGAUUUAUUACAAUUAGAUUCAUAAAUUUUUAUAAUAUCAUAAUUUUUCUUUGGAG